This 69-nucleotide transfer RNA is filed under the name Mespilia globulus. Its description in RNAcentral is "tRNA-His". It matches the Rfam family "tRNA". Rfam says of the family: Transfer RNA (tRNA) molecules are approximately 80 nucleotides in length. Their secondary structure includes four short double-helical elements and three loops (D, anti-codon, and T loops). Lineage: Eukaryota; Metazoa; Echinodermata; Echinoidea; Temnopleuroida; Temnopleuridae. The record is from RNAcentral.
ACUAAAAUAGUUUAACAAAAACAUCAGACUGUGGCACUGAAAAUACCAGUUAAAACCUGGUUUUAAGUC